RNAcentral lists this ribosomal RNA (187 nucleotides) under uncultured rumen bacterium. Its description in RNAcentral is "partial 16S ribosomal RNA". It matches the Rfam family "Bacterial small subunit ribosomal RNA", at positions 340 to 524 of the family's 1533-position model. The record is from RNAcentral.
UACGGGAGGCAGCAGUGAGGAAUAUUGGUCAAUGGACGAGAGUCUGAACCAGCCAAGUAGCGUGCAGGAUGACGGCCCUAUGGGUUGUAAACUGCUUUUAUGCGGGGAUAAAGUGCACCACGUGUGGUGUUUUGUAGGUACCGCAUGAAUAAGGACCGGCUAAUUCCGUGCCAGCAGCCGCGGUAAU